Molecule: ribosomal RNA, 326 nt
Filed under: uncultured eukaryote
Lineage: Eukaryota
Description: partial 18S ribosomal RNA
Rfam family: Eukaryotic small subunit ribosomal RNA
Source: RNAcentral
CCCUUAGAUGUUCUGGGCCGCACGCGCGCUACACUGAUGCAUUCAACGAGUCCAACCUUGACCGAGAGGUCCGGGUAAUCUUUGAAACUGCAUCGUGAUGGGGCUAGAUUAUUGCAAUUAUUAAUCUUCAACGAGGAAUGCCUAGUAAGCGUGAUUCAUCAAAUCGCGUUGAUUACGUCCCUGCCCUUUGUACACACCGCCCGUCGCUCCUACCGAUUGAGUGUGUUGGUGAGGAGUUUGGAUUGGCCUCGGAAGGUGGUUCGCCACCGUCCGUAGCUGAGAAGUUCUCCAAACCGCCCCACUUAGAGGAAGGAGAAGUCGUNACA